This 253-nucleotide ribosomal RNA is filed under the name uncultured bacterium. Its description in RNAcentral is "partial 16S ribosomal RNA". It matches the Rfam family "Bacterial small subunit ribosomal RNA", at positions 524 to 776 of the family's 1533-position model. The record is from RNAcentral.
UACAGAGGUCCCGAGCGUUGUUCGGAUUCAUUGGGCGUAAAGGGUGCGUAGGCGGUGCGGAAAGUUGGGUGUGAAAUCCCUCGGCUCAACCGAGGAACUGCGCCCAAAACUACCGUACUCGAGGAAGAUAGAGGUGAGCGGAACUUACGGUGGAGCGGUGAAAUGCGUUGAUAUCGUAAGGAACACCCGUGGCGAAAGCGGCUCACUGGGUCUUCUCUGACGCUGAUGCACGAAAGCUAGGGGAGCAAACGGG